Molecule: non-coding RNA, 2377 nt
Organism: Ictidomys tridecemlineatus (thirteen-lined ground squirrel)
Lineage: Eukaryota; Metazoa; Chordata; Mammalia; Rodentia; Sciuridae
Source: RefSeq, a predicted model, not a curated record
GGAAGAGGCUGACGUCAGCGCGUUCUCCAGCGCUUGGGGGCGGGGUCGAUGACUCACCGGGCUGCGCCCCUUGCCCCCGCCCCUCCCGGCUGCGCGCACGUGAGCGAGCACUACGCUGGUUUCUAAAUUUAGUCCCGGCGGCUUCCCUGGGGUCGCCUGAGAAUACAGUAUUUGCUUUGUUGUUCUGACUUUUCCCACUUGGAGAGUUGUGAAAAGGAAACAUUUUAUCCACCAUCUUGUCUCUUCUCUUUCUUCACGGAGUACAGGGAAUCGAGCCUGGGACCUUGUGCACAUUGGGUAGGUGCUCUAUCACUGGAACUAUACUCCCAGUCCAGCUGAGGAAUUGAACCCAACUCUAGCCACAGUUGAACCCAACUCUAGCCACAAUCUUGGUGGAUACUACAACUUAAAAAGAAUAUAAGGGCCAAAAGCUCCUGGCCAAUGACCUGCCUUCAAGUGGAGGUCUGAAGUCCCCUUCCUGGAUGGACAUUCCCAUAGUAACAGCAGAGAGGAAUAGUACACCCGAUGUGGACACCACACCUACAGACCUCUGUAUCGGUCACACCCAUAUGUCAGAUUGUGCAUUCCUGGCAAGACUGAAUGUGAGUGCCAGGGAGGGGAAGCUGUGAUCUUCGUCCCUGACUCUCCCCAUGAAAUGGAGGAACUUCAGGCCCUUCACCAUAACUGGAGUAAUCAACCUCAGAAUUGCUUUUGUGUAAUAGAGCCAAUAUCAACAGUGCCUAUAGAAACUUCCACCACCUAGUAGGGGUUUCCAGAGGGUGUACCUCCAUGUCUCCACUUACUCUGCUGCCUACACAUGAGAGGGUUCCCACUUUUGUGAGUAGCUACCUCAGACUUCAGUAUGGCAUGCACUGUGUCUAGACCCACUAAUCAUAGCCCAAGAAGCCACAGAGAGAAUGCAUUAUUGAAUUGGAGGUAAACUCAAUAUUAUACAAUAAUUUGACACCACAGGGCAUAUCAUGAAUUGAAAGCCACUAAGAAGGACAUCACAUAAAAGUGGAAGAGAGUCCAAUUCAAUAGAUUGGUAAAUCUCAACCUAGAAACAUGAAAUAUGAUGAAAUGUAAUAGAAUACCUCCAAAAGUUCAUAACUCUUUAGUAACUGAUUCCAAAGAUAUCAAAGUGGAUGAAAUGCCACACAAAGAAUCUUUCAGGAGAACAAUGUUAAAAGCAGUAUGUGACAUAAAAGGAUAAACAGCUGGAUGAAUUAACAAAACAAUUCAAGAAAGAUCUGAAAAGUUCAAUGUCAGAAAAUUCAGUUGGAAUUCUCACUAUUAGAAUGGAUAAAAUAGAAGAAAGAAUAACAUAUAAAGAUGAAACUUUUGAAAUGUUAGUAGAGAAAGAAAAUUGAGUAGGUAUGACGUUGCCAUACAAGAGAUUUAGGACAUCACCACAAGACAAAAUAUCUGGCUCUUUGGCAUACCCGAGGGAGAAGAGCUACAGGUUGGGGGCAUAAAAAAACCAAUUUAAUGAGCCGGGCGCCUUGGCGCAUGCCUGUAAUCGCAGCAGCUGAGACAGGAGGAUCAUGAGUUCAAAGCCAACCUCAGCAAAAGCAAGGCAGUAAGCAACUCACUGAGACCCUGUCCCUAAGUAAAAUACAAAAUAGGGCUGGGGAUGUGACUCAGUGGCCGAAUGCCCCUGUUUAAUGAAAUUUAUUUCCCAGAUCCUGCAAAAGACAUGGGCAUCUAUAUACAUGAUGCAUAUAGAACCCCAAAGAGAUGUUGUGAAAGGAACUUUUCCAUGAUAUGUUGUAGUUAAAUUGUCAAACAUAUUGCAUCAAGAAAACAAUAUUAAAUGUGGCAAGAGAGAAGUGUCAAGAUACAUUUAAAGAUACAUUUAGACUAACUGAAUAUUUCUCAGAAGGAACUCUAUUAAAGGACAGGAGGGCGUGGAUCCAUGUAUUUGAAGUCACGAAAGACAAAAGAAAAAAAAAUGCCAGCCAAGAGUACAGUGUUCACCAAGGCUAUCCUUUAGAAUUGACAGAGAAGUAAAGACCUUCCAAGAUAACCAUGAAGAAAGGGAAUUCUUGACUACUGGACCAAAUUACAAAACAUAAUUAAGGUAAGCCCACAAAAAAAGGAAGAAAAAUUAUAGGAACAUGUAAAAGAACAAGUCUAACUAGAAGAGAAUAGAUAUGCAAAUGAGAAAUAAGGAAGCAUCAAACAUCAUUGUUAUAACCAUUAAGUGUGUAAGAUGAAUGAGAUGAAAAAAUGAACAGAAUAUUCAAAACAACCAGAAGAUAAACAAACACUAUUAGAGAUAGAUUCUGACUUCAGUACCCUACUCAUCAAUGGAUGGGUCAUCCAGGAAAAAAAAAAAAUCAAAGAAAUAUUAGUUAGAUAAUAUUUCUGAUCAAAU